RNAcentral lists this long non-coding RNA (201 nucleotides) under Gossypium barbadense (sea-island cotton). Its description in RNAcentral is "long non-coding RNA (GBAR_LNC011015)". The record is from RNAcentral. Lineage: Eukaryota; Viridiplantae; Streptophyta; Magnoliopsida; Malvales; Malvaceae.
AAAAGAGAGAAUAGAAAAAUCAGUUUUUCAAGCUUGGUGCAGCAGUGAUCAACUCUUCGAUCGAAGGUCAAUCCGUGGUUCGAUUGAGCUGAUUUUUGGACAGCAGCUAGGCGAUAAGGUGUUCUUGACUUUGUACGGUCGGAUUUUUCAUCCGAGUCUUGUAGUGUCGGAAAUACCCGUUUUUCAGCAGCUACGUUUUUG